This 253-nucleotide ribosomal RNA is filed under the name uncultured bacterium. RNAcentral describes it as "partial 16S ribosomal RNA". It matches the Rfam family "Bacterial small subunit ribosomal RNA", at positions 524 to 776 of the family's 1533-position model. The record is from RNAcentral.
UACGGAGGGAGCUAGCGUUGUUCGGAAUUACUGGGCGUAAAGCGCGCGUAGGCGGCUUUGUAAGUUAGAGGUGAAAGCCCGGGGCUCAACCCCGGAACAGCCUUUAAGACUGCAUCGCUAGAAUCCGGGAGAGGUGAGUGGAAUUCCGAGUGUAGAGGUGAAAUUCGUAGAUAUUCGGAAGAACACCAGUGGCGAAGGCGGCUCACUGGCCCGGUACUGACGCUGAGAUACGAAAGCGUGGGGAGCAAACAGG